This is a long non-coding RNA of Ctenopharyngodon idella (grass carp), 2324 nucleotides long. RefSeq lists it as uncharacterized. The transcript is spliced from 4 exons. Lineage: Eukaryota; Metazoa; Chordata; Actinopteri; Cypriniformes; Xenocyprididae. The record is from RefSeq and is a predicted model, not a curated record.
CAGUCAUGAAGUGUUAAACUCACAGCACUAUAAACACUCUCAGAGCACUGAAGCAUGUGUGACAAUGCAAAGAAGUGGGCAGGAUUUACAACAGACAAACUAAUAUACACUAGAGUUACACUAUGAUCAUUUACAUUCUGACUAAUGUUAUCUUUAGUUAGUUCAGUAGUUUUAUUUUUACUCUGACUAUUGAGAAACUGAUGAUGUGCAGAUGAACAUCUAUCCCAUGUAGGAAGGGAUGUUCUCGUGGCCUUGCACACCAUUCCCUAAAAGUUCUCUAAAUGUGACAGAAAUCCUGAACCUUCACAUUAGAGAUGUUUGUAAAACAUCCUCUUUUGGUUAUGAAAGUGCUGCAGUUCAAGUUUCCUUAUAUGACUUUAGAGGGACGUUCCACAUUGGUUAAUCAAUGGUCACAUAAGAUCGUUACAAAGAGGACAUUUGGGACAUUAACAGAACGUCCCCAUACGGUUCUCUGUUAGUCAGAUGGGGACGUUUCAUUCGGGACCAUGCUGCUCCUGAACCUUUUUUUGAAACGUCGUUUAAGAAGCAUAUUUCACUUAUAGGUGAAUUGAAAAUUUCUCAUAAAAAUAAUAAAAAAUAAAUUACAUUCAAAUAGUAAAUCCUUACUAUCUGUAAUUUCCCUAUAUUUGUGGACCACUGGAUACCUGGUGUUUCUUUAAACCAAUUAAAAAGGUCCUGGGUGGCAUUUACGCCCCAAUGGACACAGUCACUUCCACAUUUUUCCUCAGGCAGCCUAUUUAUAUCGGCGCGGCAUCGGAAGUCAUUGUUUUUAAUAUUAAUAUUAUGUAAAGUAGUUUUAUCGCACCAUAAUCCAUUGCUACAAACUCCUGUACAGUAGGUGGAGCUAUGCACCUGAUAAGUCAUGAUUGCAAUCCGCCAAAAAACUAAAAGAAGAAGAAGAAGGAAGUCAUUGUUCCUUACGCAGAGCUUUCGCUGGCUGCGUCCAAAACUGCCUACUCAAUGAGUAGGUACUUCAUUUCAAUAAGUACUUACUUAACGAGCGCUAAAAGAGUAGGUACUUAAUAGCCGAAUCUCUUUGGCUGCGUCCGAAACCGCCUACUUGUCUACUAUUUAGUAGGGGAAAAGCAGUAGGCGAGCAAUUAAGUAUGUCAGAAACCUCAGUAAUCAUAAAUGAGUAGUCGAGAAGUUCCCGGAUGGCCUACUGCUUCCGCCCAGAUUCUGAAGUGUUCCUCGAUCGAUACUUUUCUAUCCCAGGAGGCCACAGGAGAGGAUACGUCAUAAUUGAACAUGGAGGAGAAAAGCGGCGCGGAUGCUUUCAAAUGGACAGAUGAUCACGUGUGUUCAUCCGCUGGAGAGAGGCUGAUGAAGGAAUGAUGCCAUCAAAGGCUUUGAGUGACGAUACUACAGAAAUUAGAUGUGAAAUGUCUUCAGACUGGUGUGAGCACUGAGGAUGGAGAGCCACAGCACAGCCACAAAAAUAAUCCGCCAUGUUGACGUUAUCAUGUGACCUACGACGUUAUCACAAGUGCAACAACUUAAAAGAUAUGAGUGACAGGUUUAAUUAAUCUAUCUGUAAAUAUCUUGAUAUUGAUCAAACUUGCUUAUUUUGUGGUCUUGUUGAAGAAACAGCUGCCCAGUAAUUUUGUAAUUGUAGUACAACUAAUAUAUUUUGGGUUAAUUUAAAGUUCUUAUAUUUUUAUAUAAUGUGAGUUUAUUUUUUGUUGAAUAUGUUGUUAAUUUCUUUAUUUUAUAUGCAAAAAUGUUCAUCCACAAGCAAAAGUGGCAUACAUUUCAUUUGUUUUCCUUUUUUUCUUGUUGAAUUAGCUCUAGUUUCAUCCCUCAGGCUUAUAAAUAAUAAAUAUUUUUAUGCAUUAUUAUGUAUUCAAAAUAUUUAACCUUAUCAUCAUGCUUUAUGUCUGUGUAUAUAAUCUCAAACUAUGAUGUAUGUUUGUUUUUUGUCAUUAUUAUUGUUUAUUGUUACCUAGUUUGGUUUUCUUCAGUGUUAGCAAUGUCUGAAGCCAAAGAUAUCAGCAGCUGCUCGAAGAUCUCGCCUUUGAAGAAGACUGAUUUUAUACUAAAAAAAAUCUGUGCCAGUUCUGCAGCUUUAUUCUGAUGAACACCUUCAUCCAUCAUGUCCCUCACUGCUGCUCUUCUCAGUGGGGACAUCGUGGAUCCAGAGGAUGAGGAAGAUGAUGAUGAUGGACCCCUGAACCCCACAACCUUGACGCAAGAGUGGGAGAAGAUGUGUGGGACAAUCUGGCUGCUGCUGUGUCUGCUCUAAACAUUCGUGUGUCUGCUCUCCAUCAGCAUGACUAAAACAGAUUAAAACAUUUUACAAUUCA